Molecule: ribosomal RNA, 450 nt
Filed under: uncultured Trichococcus sp.
Lineage: Bacteria; Bacillati; Bacillota; Bacilli; Lactobacillales; Carnobacteriaceae
Description: bacterial SSU rRNA
Rfam family: Bacterial small subunit ribosomal RNA
Source: RNAcentral
GAUUGGCGGACGGGUGAGUAACACGUGGGUAACAUGCCCAUAAGAGGGGGAUAACAUCCGGAAACGGGUGCUAAUACCGCAUAGUUUUCUUGAUCGCAUGAUUGAGAAAGGAAAGACGGCCUUUGUGCUGUCGCUUAUGGAUGGACCCGCGGCGUAUUAGUUAGUUGGUGAGGUAAUGGCUCACCAAGCCGAUGAUACGUAGCCGACCUGAGAGGGUGAUCGGCCACAUUGGGACUGAGACACGGCCCAAACUCCUACGGGAGGCAGCAGUAGGGAAUCUUCCGCAAUGGACGAAAGUCUGACGGAGCAACGCCACGUGAGUGAAGAAGGUUUUCGGAUCGUAAAACUCUGUUGUCAGAGAAGAACAAGUUGGAGAGUAACUGCUCCAGCCUUGCCGGUAUCUGACCAGAAAGCCACGGCUAAGUACGUGCCAGCAGCCGCGGUAAUAAU